CGAGCUGUGGCGGGAGAGUCCCGUCGUCCUCAACGAGGACGUUCGGGCGCCGAAGGAGCAAGUCCUCCCCUGGAAUCUCUCAGGCCCCCGUACCGCCACCGGCUG
Molecule: non-coding RNA, 105 nt
Filed under: Intrasporangium calvum
Lineage: Bacteria; Bacillati; Actinomycetota; Actinomycetes; Micrococcales; Intrasporangiaceae
Also listed under: 1 other name
Description: Glycine sequence
Rfam family: Glycine riboswitch aptamer
About the family: This family represents the bacterial glycine riboswitch. Glycine riboswitches usually consist of two metabolite-binding aptamers domains with similar structures in tandem.
Source: RNAcentral